Molecule: unclassified non-coding RNA, 3042 nt
Filed under: Leishmania donovani
Lineage: Eukaryota; Euglenozoa; Kinetoplastea; Trypanosomatida; Trypanosomatidae
Description: gene:LdHU3.31.1430(CDS-product:amino_acid_permeas e_3)
Source: RNAcentral
AUGCAGCUGCCCGUAAAGCUGUGCAACGUGCCUUUACGUGUAGUCACACCCGCGUAGGUUCCUCUACAUACGCUGGUUUCUUCGCCUACCCUGCCGCACGGCUCCCUCCUCUGGUUUCUUUCGUUGUUUUCUACGCGCAUUCCCCCCCCCUGUCUUUUGCGUGCGGUACUCUUUUCGUCUUUCUUAUCUUUCCGACUGUGGGGUCCACCCCCGGCUCGUCCCGUGCGCAGCGCCCCCUCCGCUGCUAGCGAUCUUGCACCCCGUACCACUCCCUGACACGCAACAAGCAGCAGCAUGAGCAAGCCCAGCGAGUCUAUUCCAGCACAGGCGGAGGGCGAGGUCCUGAGCGACUCGCUUAUAGACGGGAACCCCGGCAACGCCGUCGAUAAACACCCGAGCGGCGAGCAGGGCAACCAUCUCCACAAAAACGGAAGCCUGACGGCCUCAUCAAGCCACAAUGAAAACGGUGCCGACGCCGCCAAGCCGGGGCGCAACAUCAUCUUCCGCUUCACCGGGUGGCUGAUACCCUAUGGCGGUGUCAUCUCGAACUGCUUCAGCCUUGGCUCCGUCACACUCGGCGGCGGUAUUAUCUCGAUGCCGUCCUCCUUCGCCAUGUCGGGCAUCAUCAUGUCUGUCAUCUACCUCGUGGUCAUUACGGCGGCGACGGUGUACACCAUGACGCUGCUUGGCUACGCGAUGAAGGCGACGGGCUGCAAAACGUUUGAGGAGCUGUCUCUCGUGCUCUUUGGUCGCGGCUGGGACUACUUCGUUGGGUUUGUCCUGUGGCUGUCGUGCUUCGGCACGGCGGUCGCCUACAUCAGCGCCGUCAGCAGCCUCAUCACACCGAUCCUCGAGAAGUCGCCCGGCACGCCCGCGUACCUGCUAACCACCUCCGGCAACCGCCUGAUCACGAGUCUGAUAUGGCUCGUGUUCAUGGUGCCAGUUGUGAUUCCGAAGCGCGUAAACAGCAUCCGCUACGUCUCCGCAAUCGGUGUCUUCAUGGUGCUGUAUUUUGCCGUCACUAUUGUGGUGCACUCGAGCAUGAAUGGGCUGAAGGAGGGCAUGCGCGGUGAUAUGAAGUACUUCACCAGCGGCAACGAAGCGGUUUACGGAUUGUCCAUCUUCAUUUUCUCGUUUCUGUGCCAGGCUGUGACGGGGUCAGUGUACUUCGAGCAGCGCCCUCGCCCGUCUGUACGCCAGCUGACGAUCGCGAGUGCGAUCUCGAUGACGGUGUGCAUGGUGCUGUACAUCUUUACCGGCGUCUUUGGCUACUUCGACUUCGCGGACGAUACGCAGGACUCCAUCCUGUACAACUUCGACCCUGUGCAUCAGCCGUACAUGAUGAUCGCGUACAUUGGCAUGCUGAUCAAGAUCUGCGCCGCCUUUGCGAUGAACAUGCUGCCGUGCCGAAACUUCGCCUACCACUGCCUGAACUGGGAUCUGGAGACGGUGCCGUACUGGAAGCACACCAUCGCGAUUCUCACCAUGGCUGUCGCCACCCUUGUGUGCGGUCUGUUCAUCCCGAGCAUCAACACGGCUUUCGGUUUGGUGGGCUCCCUGUGCGGCGGAUUCAUCGGCUUCAUCUUCCCUGCGUACUUUUGGAUGUACAGCGGCAACUGGAGCCUGUCAUCUGUGGGCAUCUGGCACUGGCUGGCGACGUACUUCCUCGUGGUGGCGGGUGUCAUUGCAGUUGUGUUUGGCACCGUUUCCACCGUGUACUUUAGCUUCUUCUUGUAGGCCCUCGCCAGUGCGUAGACCGUGCACGGGGGUGCUGUGCAUGAGCCGGGCAGCAGAGCAGAUCGCACUGUCGCCGUAUUGUUUCACUCAGAAGUUCAGUUUUGCUUGAGCACUGUACGUUCCUGUGCGUCUGUCUGUGUCUGUUUCUCCCCUCCCUCCGCCUCCGCCUCGCGUUUCUUGCGCAUCGAGCGUUGUGCGGACACGGGGCUGCCUCUUUCUCUCUCUCCCUCCCUGUGCCGCUGCUGCCACUCGCAGAAGCGAAGUUUUUUUUUUCGUUGACCAAAGGAUCGGCAGCUGUUAGUGGAUGGAGGGACCGUUCACCUCUGCUGUGUUGUCUGUCCGCGACUUCCUCCAGCCUCUUCUGCCAGGACGUCUUUGCCUGUCUCUUCCACGGGCCGCGCAACUUUCUGGCCGUCGCCGAUGCUGCCCCUUCUGACGAGCCCGUUCUCCUGGUAGCACCGGCCCUAUUUACGCCCUCACGCACUCCUUUUUGCCGUCUUCCCUUGCGCGUCCGUCGCCGUGCCGAGUGAGAGGCACGGAAGAUGGGAAGGGUGCGCGUGUAGGCGACCGGUGCAGAUGCGACUUCUCGCAUGGAAGACGAAUGCGAACGUUCGUCUUCGCUGCCUGCGCACGGGAGCAGUGGGGACGGCAAUGCAAGGCGAUGAAGAGGACUGUGUGGAGCGCAUCUUUUUAUUCGGCGUGUGGGUGGGCUGAGCCAACGGUGAGACAUGUUCCGCUCUUUUGCGUUGCCUUCGCUUUUUCUUCUGAUACGCUGGCGCAUAUGCUCGCUGCUUUCUCCUCCCUCUUCUUGAGUCGCUCGUCUUCUUUUCAUUGGGUGUGUACGUCCCUGUUUUUCUUUCCGUUCUUCGCAUCAUCAUUAUCUCUCUCCUGCUUUCCUGGGUACGCACUACUUCAGUGGACAUCUUUUAUCUUUCCUGCUGCUGUGUGUAUAUGGAGGCGUUUGUGACGCUCGGAUGCUUCUCGUUUUUUCAUUUUGUAGCGGUGUGUGUGUGUGUGUGAGGGGGGGUCUCUCUCCUUCGCAUGAGUGAUAGACGCAGGAAAGACGCAUUUUCUUGGCGCCAAAUGAUCUCACGCCCUCCCCCACUCCUUCUCAGGUGGUGCGUAUGCGCAGGCCUCAGAUGUCUCUCCAGCGCGCACGAUCGGCGCACUUCUCGCAGGAGCGAAGACGCGUAGAUGCGCGAACAAGAGCGCGCAACUUCACCGUUGUGGAUUCGCUCUGCUGCCCUGCUUCUUUCUUGCUGCAACUUUUAUUAUCGGAGGACUUCCUUUACGGAGCGCAUCUAG